Molecule: ribosomal RNA, 468 nt
Filed under: uncultured bacterium
Lineage: Bacteria
Description: partial 16S ribosomal RNA
Rfam family: Bacterial small subunit ribosomal RNA
Source: RNAcentral
GACGAACGCUGGCGGCGUGCCUAACACAUGCAAGUCGAACGGAAAGGCCCUGCUUUUGUGGGGUGCUCGAGUGGCGAACGGGUGAGUAACAAGUGAGUAUACUGCCCUUGACUUUGGGAUAACUUCAGGAAACUGGGGCUAAUACCGGAUAGGAGCUCCUGCUUCAUGGUGGGGGGUGGUUAGUUUCGGCGGUUGGGGAUGGACUUGCGGCUUAUCAGCUUGUUGGUGGUGUAGUGGCUUACCAAGGCCUUGACGGGUAGCCGGCCUGAGAGGGUGACCGGCCACAUUGGGACUGAGAUACGGCCCAGACUCCUACGGGAGGCAGCAGUGGGGAAUAUUGCACAGUGGGCGGAAGCCAGUUGCAGCAGCGCCGCGUGCGGGAUGACGGCCUUCGGGUUGUAAACCGAUUUCGCCUGUGACGAAGCGUGAGUGACGGUAAUGGGUAAAGAAGCACCGGCUAACUACGUG